GACGAACGCUGGCGGCGUCUUAACACAUGCACGUCGAACGGAAAGGCCCUGCUUUUGUGGGGUGCUCGAGUGGCGAACGGGUGAGUAACACGUGAGUAACCUGCCCUUGACUUUGGGAUAACUUCAGGAAACUGGGGCUAAUACCGGAUAGGAGCUCCUGCUGCAUGGUGGGGGUUGGAAAGUUUCGGCGGUUGGGGAUGGACUCGCGGCUUAUCAGCUUGUUGGUGGGGUAGUGGCUUACCAAGGCUUUGACGGGUAGCCGGCCUGAGAGGGUGACCGGCCACAUUGGGACUGAGAUACGGCCCAGACUCCUACGGGAGGCAGCAGUGGGGAAUAUUGCACAAUGGGCGGAAGCCUGAUGCAGCAACGCCGCGUGCGGGAUGACGGCCUUCGGGUUGUAAACCGCUUUCGCCUGUGACGAAGCGUGAGUGACGGUAAUGGGUAAAGAAGCACCGGCUAACUACGUG
RNAcentral lists this ribosomal RNA (467 nucleotides) under uncultured bacterium. RNAcentral describes it as "partial 16S ribosomal RNA". It matches the Rfam family "Bacterial small subunit ribosomal RNA", at positions 28 to 507 of the family's 1533-position model. The record is from RNAcentral.